RNAcentral lists this transfer RNA (62 nucleotides) under Platycorynus sp. N26. Its description in RNAcentral is "tRNA-Glu". The record is from RNAcentral. Lineage: Eukaryota; Metazoa; Arthropoda; Insecta; Coleoptera; Chrysomelidae.
AUUUAUAUAGUUUAACAAAAAACAUUACAUUUUCAUUGUAAAAUUGGAAUCUUUUCUUAUAA